Molecule: ribosomal RNA, 253 nt
Filed under: uncultured bacterium
Lineage: Bacteria
Description: partial 16S ribosomal RNA
Rfam family: Bacterial small subunit ribosomal RNA
Source: RNAcentral
UACAGAGGUCUCAAGCGUUGUUCGGAUUCAUUGGGCGUAAAGGGUGCGUAGGUGGCAUGGUAAGUCGGAUGUGAAAUCCCGGGGCUCAACCCCGGAACUGCAUUCGAUACUGCUGCGCUAGAGUACUGGAGAGGAGAUUGGAAUUUACGGUGUAGCAGUGAAAUGCGUAGAUAUCGUAAGGAAGACCAGUGGCGAAGGCGAAUCUCUGGACAGUUACUGACACUGAGGCACGAAGGCCAGGGGAGCAAACGGG